Anguilla anguilla (European eel) is the source of this 1087-nucleotide long non-coding RNA. RefSeq lists it as uncharacterized. NCBI's taxonomy places the organism in Eukaryota, Metazoa, Chordata, Actinopteri, Anguilliformes, Anguillidae. The transcript has 3 exons. The record is from RefSeq and is a predicted model, not a curated record.
UUAAAUGAAAAAGAAAUUUCCGUCCAACGGGCAGAAUAGAAUAUUCUCACAUUCAGGGAAUUUCUCAUGGGAAACUUAACUUGACAACACAUAGUUUUACUAAGCAUUAAUGUUUAUUAUAUAAACGGAGUAUAUUUAUACACAAUUAAUAUUUAUUCAACACUGUUUGCAUGUUGUUAAACUUUUAUAAUAUUUACAAAUGUCUAACCGUAACCAUUUUGUUAUCGUAAAGAAAGUGCUGGAGAGCAACGCAUAUUCACAAGUAGCCUUUUUCGGUACAUAUUUAUUGGAGAGUAUGGAUGUUAAAAGUAAAUUGCCUUGCUGCCGCUUAUGCUACCUGCAGCCUACCCUACUGCAUCCCAAAUGGCCGACCGAAGUAGGAAACUCCCUGGUUUGUUUGGGCCUCGACAGCCCUGCCCUGUACAUGGGAACUAUCAGGCAACAAAACUCUUCUCCAGAACAACCGGUAAGGACAGGAGGAAAUGCAUACGAAACAAUGAAACUGUCACCAAACGAGUUCCAUUUGACCAUCCAUCUAUCCAUCAUCUAUACCCGCUCAUUCCUGCUCAGGCUUACGGGAGCCUAUCCCAGCAUGUAUUGGGCAAGAGAGACAAAGGGCCAGGAGCCGGAGCGAGCCGGGUCCCUGCUGGUGAAGUGUGCAGGAAUAAUGCAGCCAUCUCCACUGCUGCAUUACAACACAUGGACCUGCCUUUGUGCUGUAAAUCCAACAGAACACACACACGCACUCUCUCUCUCUCUCUCUCUCUCUCACACACACAAACACACACACACAGGCUCUGUUCAUUCUGCACCUCCAUAUCAGCACAGUGCCCAGAAGGAGGGGGACAUUCUAAACCAUUGUAAUAAUGAUGGUGAAUGAAGAGAAGACAUUAACACAGGACACUCCUCAGUACUUCUGAUGUUCCUUCAUAAGGAAGUGUUUGGUUGUUUCAUUAUGAAAUGGAUUAUAUUGUAUAUGGUGUGCUGCAGCCUCUUAGGCAGGACUCUGUAAAAAAAGAGAUUAUUAUCUAAAUGGAUCUCACCUGGAAAAAUAGUGGAUGAAUAAAAAUAAAUACGAAUGAUCAUA